Molecule: ribosomal RNA, 726 nt
Filed under: uncultured bacterium
Lineage: Bacteria
Description: bacterial SSU rRNA
Rfam family: Bacterial small subunit ribosomal RNA
Source: RNAcentral
AGCGGCGAACGGGUGAGUAACACGCAGGUGAUCUGCCCAUCAGACGGGGACAACGAUUGGAAACGAUCGCUAAUACCGGAUAGGACGAAAGUUUAAAGGUGCUUCUGGCACCGCUGAUGGAUGAGCCUGCGGCGCAUUAGCUAGUUGGUAGGGUAAAGGCCUACCAAGGCGACGAUGCGUAGCCGACCUGAGAGGGUGAACGGCCACACUGGGACUGAGACACGGCCCAGACUCCUACGGGAGGCAGCAGUAGGGAAUCUUCGGCAAUGGGCGAAAGCCUGACCGAGCAACGCCGCGUGAAUGAUGAAGGCCUUCGGGUUGUAAAAUUCUGUUAUAAGGGAAGAACGACUUUAGUAGGAAAUGGCUAGAGUGUGACGGUACCUUAUGAGAAAGCCACGGCUAACUACGUGCCAGCAGCCGCGGUAAUACGUAGGUGGCGAGCGUUAUCCGGAAUUAUUGGGCGUAAAGAGCGCGCAGGUGGUUGAUUAAGUCUGAUGUGAAAGCCCACGGCUUAACCGUGGAGGGUCAUUGGAAACUGGUCGACUUGAGUGCAGAAGAGGGAAGUGGAAUUCCAUGUGUAGCGGUGAAAUGCGUAGAGAUAUGGAGGAACACCAGUGGCGAAGGCGGCUUCCUGGUCUGUAACUGACGCUGAGGCGCGAAAGCGUGGGGAGCAAACAGGAUUAGAUACCCUGGUAGUCCACGCCGUAAACGAUGAGUGCUAAGUGU